CGGGUGGUAAUGCCGGAUGCUCCAUCACACCGCAUGGUGUGUUGGGAAAGCCUUUGCGGCAUGGGAUGGGGUCGCGUCCUAUCAGCUUGAUGGCGGGGUAACGGCCCACCAUGGCUUCGACGGGUAGCCGGCCUGAGAGGGCGACCGGCCACAUUGGGACUGAGAUACGGCCCAGACUCCUACGGGAGGCAGCAGUGGGGAAUAUUGCACAAUGGGCGCAAGCCUGAUGCAGCGACGCCGCGUGAGGGAUGGAGGCCUUCGGGUUGUAAACCUCUUUUGUUAGGGAGCAAGGCACUUUGUGUUGAGUGUACCUUUCGAAUAAGCACCGGCUAACUACGUGCCAGCAGCCGCGGUAAUACGUAGGGUGCAAGCGUUAUCCGGAAUUAUUGGGCGUAAAGGGCUCGUAGGCGGUUCGUCGCGUCCGGUGUGAAAGUCCAUCGCUUAACGGUGGAUCCGCGCCGGGUACGGGCGGGCUUGAGUGCGGUAGGGGAGACUGGAAUUCCCGGUGUAACGGUGGAAUGUGUAGAUAUCGGGAAAGAACA
RNAcentral lists this ribosomal RNA (542 nucleotides) under Bifidobacterium breve. RNAcentral's name for it is "bacterial SSU rRNA". It matches the Rfam family "Bacterial small subunit ribosomal RNA", at positions 157 to 708 of the family's 1533-position model. Lineage: Bacteria; Bacillati; Actinomycetota; Actinomycetes; Bifidobacteriales; Bifidobacteriaceae. The record is from RNAcentral.